This 461-nucleotide ribosomal RNA is filed under the name uncultured bacterium. Its description in RNAcentral is "bacterial SSU rRNA". It matches the Rfam family "Bacterial small subunit ribosomal RNA", at positions 28 to 479 of the family's 1533-position model. The record is from RNAcentral.
GACGAACGCUGGCGGCGUGCCUAAUACAUGCAAGUCGAGCGGACGUUUUUGAAGCUUGCUUCAAAAACGUUAGCGGCGGACGGGUGAGUAACACGUGGGCAACCUACCUUAUCGACUGGGAUAACUCCGGGAAACCGGGGCUAAUACCGGAUAACAUCUAGCACCUCCUGGUGCCGGAUUAAAAGAGGGCUUCUUGCUCUCACGAUGAGAUGGGCCCGCGGCGCAUUAGCUAGUUGGAGAGAUAACGGCUCCCCAAGGCGACGAUGCGUAGCCGACCUGAGAGGGUGAUCGGCCACACUGGGACUGAGACACGGCCCAGACUCCUACGGGAGGCAGCAGUAGGGAAUCUUCCGCAAUGGACGAAAGUCUGACGGAGCAACGCCGCGUGAGUGAUGAAGGGUUUCGGCUCGUAAAGCUCUGUUAUGAGGGAAGAACACGUACCGUUCGAAUAGGGCGGUACC